Molecule: ribosomal RNA, 231 nt
Filed under: uncultured bacterium
Lineage: Bacteria
Description: partial 16S ribosomal RNA
Rfam family: Bacterial small subunit ribosomal RNA
Source: RNAcentral
UGAGGAACAUGACCUUCGGCGGGGGAUAGCCGGCCCAACGGCCGGGUAAUACCGCGUACGACCACAUGGGGACAUCCCUGAGUGGUGAAAGCAGCAAUGCGCCGAUGGAGUGCCUCGCGGCCUAUCAGCUAGUUGGUGGGGUAACGGCUCACCAAGGCGACGACGGGUAGCUGGUCUGAGAGGAUGGCCAGCCACAUUGGGACUGAGACACGGCCCAGACUCCUAGGGAGG